AAAUCUGCCAGAAAACUACCUGAA
Molecule: non-coding RNA, 24 nt
Filed under: Arabidopsis thaliana (thale cress)
Lineage: Eukaryota; Viridiplantae; Streptophyta; Magnoliopsida; Brassicales; Brassicaceae
Source: RNAcentral